Molecule: long non-coding RNA, 1366 nt
Filed under: Homo sapiens (human)
Lineage: Eukaryota; Metazoa; Chordata; Mammalia; Primates; Hominidae
Description: non-protein coding lnc-TMEM132B-2:1
Source: RNAcentral
CCAGCUUUAUGACCAGGAAUGUCUUUUCUUAUGAACCUGGGACUCAUCCUUUUGGAAUAUCGUUUACAAGGAAGAUGGCUGCCCUCUCUCCCAGCUUCUGUGAAAAGCCGAGAAAGAAGGAAACAGUUCUGUGAAUAUUUCCGUAACUCUAUGGAGCUCCUGGAACUUCUGCCACCCUCUUGCUACCAACCUGUAGAGGAAACCAUCACGAACUUCAACAGAGAAACUGAGAACCUCAGCCCCUGUUGUCGUGGUUCAGCCACUGAGUCAACACACUCGGGGACCCACUUGAUAACUCAAUCAACUUGGAUAUUUCUCACCAUUGACUUAAGAAAGCAGAGCAGACACUGUGCUGGGGACUUUGAGCAAUGCAGAGGAAUGGAGAAUGCCCCCCAAGAACUUAGAAGAGAUGGACAUUUGCAUUAUUCUCUGUAAUGACUGCACAGUGUGGUUGUGUUUGCUCCAGGUUAUCGGCAUUGUGCCUGCACUGAAUAAAAACAAGCAGCUCCAACUUCUCAGGGCUGCUCUCUGGCCACUAGAGCCAGGCAGUCACCUAGCUGCUGUUAUGCUGCAUACCUGUCUCUGAGUACUCGCUUCAUCCAUCGGCCAGGGUCUGUGGGACAGACCAGGCAGGUGGUGCCCCAUGUGAGGAACGCUGCAAUGGAUUGCAAGGGAACCCCUGAAAACAAAUGUGAAGUGACUGAGCAGUGUUAACCUUAGAAGACUAGAACCUAAUGAGUUAUGGCAAACAGAUGUUAUGCACGUCCCUGAAUUUGGAAAACUAAGGUCCUCUUUGGAUUCCAGCACGAGGCAUCAAACCAUACCAUGGCAUGGCUAGGACCCAACCCGGUACCAAAAUGAAGAAAAUGACCCUACAGGACCCACAAUCCCGGAUGAUGUGGCUUCCUUGGAUGACACAGGCCCUGGACAUUACCUGGGGGAUGCUGAAGAAGACAACUCAGGAGGCCAAGCAAAUCCUGCUCCAGGCACAGACACCAUUCACUCCAGGAAGCUGCCAUUCAUUCGACAUAAGUAGGUGCUUCAUCUGAUAAGCGCUGCUUGUGUAAUUUAUCAAUGACAGAGAAGGCAGAUAGCAGCAUGCAUACUUGGGGCUGCAUUUGAAGGAGAGCAACAUCCCUUUGUUUUCACAGAGGAGAACAAGCAUGAGUUGAGAUUGUGGUGCUUCUUGAAGUCUCAUCCAGAUCAGAAACCUGCUGCUCUGUCCACAUUCCAUCCACCAAAGCAACCCAUAUGGCCAUGUCCAGCAUCAGAUGGGGAAAGGCAGUUCUCCUCUAGCACGAGGAGCUGCAAAGCCACAUGGCAAAGGAUGAGUGUGUAAAAAAUAAAUGCAGGAGGGCAGGAGGCA